Linepithema humile (Argentine ant) is the source of this 201-nucleotide non-coding RNA. Lineage: Eukaryota; Metazoa; Arthropoda; Insecta; Hymenoptera; Formicidae. The record is from RefSeq and is a predicted model, not a curated record.
CUCUACAAUAUUACAUUGCAACUUGCAAGAUUGUAACAUUGCUGCAAUGUAAUUGCAAUGUUCUGUGCUGUAUGGGCUGAAACAAUAGCAUCUAUGGUAUCACCUUCUCAUGAUAAUAAUCUAGAAAAUAUUCAGCCUAGUAAUAAAAAGAAUGUAAAGGAAAGAUUAUCAGCUGAAGAAGAGGAAAUAUUAGACACUCAA